UACGAAGGGGGCAAGCGUUGCUCGGAAUUACUGGGCGUAAAGGGUGCGUAGGCGGGCCUUUAGGUCAGGGGUGAAAUCCUGGAGCUCAACUCCAGAACUGCCUUUGAUACUGAAGAUCUUGAGUAUGGGAGAGGUGAGUGGAACUGCGAGUGUAGAGGUGAAAUUCGUAGAUAUUCGCAAGAACACCAGUGGCGAAGGCGGCUCACUGGCCCGGAACUGACGCUGAGGCGCGAAAGCGUGGGGAGCAAACAGG
RNAcentral lists this ribosomal RNA (253 nucleotides) under uncultured bacterium. RNAcentral's name for it is "partial 16S ribosomal RNA". It matches the Rfam family "Bacterial small subunit ribosomal RNA", at positions 524 to 776 of the family's 1533-position model. The record is from RNAcentral.